GUUCCUUUACUUCUAUAGAAGCUUAUAGAGGUGUAGUAGAAGUUUAGUUCAAUGCCAAUCUGUACGGAGCACGGUUAUGUAAAGAGAUCUUGGCGCUCGUACACCGUAAACAUAGAAAAACAUAUGGUUGACUCGUGAAAAAUCAAUAUGAAAGACAAGAAAAAUCAUAAUCUGCGCAUGCGUAAUAUGCUAUGAAUAUUUCACAGAGCAGGGGCACUUUACUCAUCUGUAUCUGUCUUCUUAUAGAACGAGAACCGUCUGGUCUUCCGUGUUAAUUUUUCACGACUCGAUUUUCGGACGAUUUCCUUUGACGAGUGUCGAGACCUGUUUACAUAAUUAUGGAUCGUGGCGUCGAGACCUGUUUAUACGAUCAUGGAGCGGAGUGCGGACCAAUCAGAUGAUUGAUAGAAGCUAAUAGAAGCAAUAUGACGUCAUACUAUCCUGUAAAAUAAGAACUAGGAUUGUUACAUGAGUACAUAUGAAUGACAAUUGUUCAACAAGGAAAGAUGGUACUGCUUUUGAAACACAUGCAAGACCAACACCCGCGAAAAUAAAGAAAAGAGAGAAAGAUAACUAAUUUUAAUAAACAACAGGCCACAUCGAUUGACAAUGAUGUUAAAGCAUUAGAGGGUAUUUUCAAUAAUCGGGAAUCUGAUGAAUUUGGGACGUUUGGAAAUUCCAUUGCAAUGCAACUGCAAACAUUGCCAAACGAGGUGACAAUUAAAUUAUAACAAGAUGUACAAACUUCAAUUAUGUGAACGCGCUUAAAUUAUAUACAAUCGUUGUCUCCAUCUGCCUCUGCCUGUAGCAUUACCCCAUCACUUUGAAGAAAACAACAUA
Bombus impatiens (common eastern bumble bee) is the source of this 840-nucleotide long non-coding RNA. RefSeq lists it as uncharacterized. NCBI's taxonomy places the organism in Eukaryota, Metazoa, Arthropoda, Insecta, Hymenoptera, Apidae. The record is from RefSeq and is a predicted model, not a curated record. The transcript is spliced from 2 exons.